AUUAAAAAAUAUAAAAUUUUGUACGGAUGAACAGUGAACUACUUAAUCGAGAAGAGUGAGGCAGAGCUCAGGAAGAAAUGGCAUCAGGGUGGGGAAUCACAGGAAACAAAGGCAGAUGCUACGAUUUCUGGAUUGAUUUCAGCGAGUGUAUGUCUCAAUGCAGAGAGCCUAAGGACUGCGCUUUCCUCCGUGAAGAUUACCUCGAGUGCCUCCACCACUCUAAAGAGGUGCACAUCGUGAACAUUUCGACAGUUAUGAGUAGCUAUAUGCCUCCAUCAACCAACAAUCCACAAAUUAUUGAAGACAUGAAACUUUGUAUGUGUUUGGUAGUGUAAGCCAUCACAACUACAGUAAGAGGAGUUUCAGCUGACAAGCAAAUCCCAACAAGCAUAUUCCGUACAUUUAUCUCUCAGAACAGAGUUUUAUCGGGCACAUCAUUGGUGGUCAUACUUCGUUUCAAAGAAGAAAUUGAAUUUACAAGGAGGAGCAGCGCAAAUUAAGAACAGCUUCAAAGAAAGCAGAUGUUUCAAAGAAGAAAUUGAAUUUACAAGGAGGAGCAGCGCAAAUUAAGAACAGCUUCAAAGAAAGCAGAUGGUGAAGAUGCAAAGA
Populus euphratica (Euphrates poplar) is the source of this 609-nucleotide RNA transcript. RefSeq lists it as uncharacterized. The transcript is spliced from 5 exons. Lineage: Eukaryota; Viridiplantae; Streptophyta; Magnoliopsida; Malpighiales; Salicaceae. The record is from RefSeq and is a predicted model, not a curated record.